This 202-nucleotide ribosomal RNA is filed under the name Staphylococcus aureus. RNAcentral describes it as "partial 23S ribosomal RNA". It matches the Rfam family "Bacterial large subunit ribosomal RNA", at positions 1482 to 1681 of the family's 2925-position model. Lineage: Bacteria; Bacillati; Bacillota; Bacilli; Caryophanales; Staphylococcaceae. The record is from RNAcentral.
AUAGGCGAAGCGUGCGAUUGGAUUGCACGUCUAAGCAGUAAGGCUGAGUAUUAGGCAAAUCCGGUACUCGUUAAGGCUGAGCUGUGAUGGGGAGAAGAUAUUGAGUCUUCGAGUCGUUGAUUUCACACUGCCGAGAAAAGCCUCUAGAUAGAAAAUAGGUGCCCGUACCGCAAACCGACACAGGUAGUCAAGAUGAGAAUUC